CUUUAUAUACAUACGUUGCGUAAUUAAGCUCGUCCCUUCGGGGACAUCCGAUAAAAUUGGAACGAUACAGAGAAGAUUAGCAUGGCCCCUGCGCAAGGAUGACACGCAUAAAUCGAGAAAUGGUCCAAAUUUUUUUGGCUCUUUUUGCGUGUGAUUUUCCAACAAUCCCAUUUUCCAGUUGCAGAACUCAACUAUACUGGGGCCGCAAUUCAGACAUGAAGCUUUUCGUAAAUUGCGUAGAAUCGGCUAUCGUUUGUUUCCCUAGUUGCAGAAGAUUAUAGAUCAGUUGCUGACAUUGUGACUGGCUUUGACAUUAAAACCAUUAACUUGUGGAGCUUUUACACA
Prunus mume (Japanese apricot) is the source of this 345-nucleotide long non-coding RNA. RefSeq lists it as uncharacterized. The record is from RefSeq and is a predicted model, not a curated record. NCBI's taxonomy places the organism in Eukaryota, Viridiplantae, Streptophyta, Magnoliopsida, Rosales, Rosaceae.